AUUGAACGCUGGCGGCAUGCCUUACACAUGCAAGUCGAACGGUAACGGGCCUUCGGGUGCCGACGAGUGGCGAACGGGUGAGUAAUACAUCGGAACGUGCCCGAUCGUGGGGGAUAACGAGGCGAAAGCUUUGCUAAUACCGCAUACGAUCUACGGAUGAAAGCAGGGGACCGCAAGGCCUUGCGCGGACGGAGCGGCCGAUGGCAGAUUAGGUAGUUGGUGGGAUAAAAGCUUACCAAGCCGACGAUCUGUAGCUGGUCUGAGAGGAUGAUCGGCCAGACUGGGAGUGAGACACGGCCCAGGCUCCUAAGGGAGGCAGCAGUGGGGAAUUUUGGACAAUGGGCGCAAGCCUGAUCCAGCCAUGCCGCGUGCAGGAUGAAGGCCUUCGGGUUGUAAACUGCUUUUGUACGGAACGAAAAGCCUUCUUCUAAUACAGGAGGGUCAUGACGGUACCGUAAGAAUAAGCACCGGCUAACUACGUGCCAGCCGCCGCAGUAA
RNAcentral lists this ribosomal RNA (498 nucleotides) under uncultured bacterium. Its description in RNAcentral is "partial 16S ribosomal RNA". It matches the Rfam family "Bacterial small subunit ribosomal RNA", at positions 30 to 523 of the family's 1533-position model. The record is from RNAcentral.